Molecule: transfer RNA, 74 nt
Filed under: Podarcis lilfordi (Lilford's wall lizard)
Lineage: Eukaryota; Metazoa; Chordata; Lepidosauria; Squamata; Lacertidae
Rfam family: tRNA
About the family: Transfer RNA (tRNA) molecules are approximately 80 nucleotides in length. Their secondary structure includes four short double-helical elements and three loops (D, anti-codon, and T loops).
Source: Rfam by way of RNAcentral
GCCUGGGUAGCUCAGUUGGUUAGAGUGUGAUGCUGAUAACACCAAGGUUACAGUUUCGAUCCCUGUAUGGGACA